RNAcentral lists this ribosomal RNA (427 nucleotides) under uncultured bacterium. RNAcentral's name for it is "bacterial SSU rRNA". It matches the Rfam family "Bacterial small subunit ribosomal RNA", at positions 355 to 774 of the family's 1533-position model. The record is from RNAcentral.
UGGGGAAUUUUGGACAAUGGGCGAAAGCCUGAUCCAGCCAUGCCGCGUGAGUGAAGAAGGCCUUCGGGUUGUAAAGCUCUUUCAGGUGGAAAGAAAACGCAUAGGUUAAUACCUUGUGCGGAUGACGGUACCAUCAGAAGAAGCACCGGCUAACUACGUGCCAGCAGCCGCGGUAAUACGUAGGGUGCAAGCGUUAAUCGGAAUUACUGGGCGUAAAGCGUGCGCAGGCGGUUUUGUAAGUCUGAUGUGAAAUCCCCGGGCUCAACCUGGGAACUGCAUUUGUGACUGCAUAGCUGGAGUGCGGCAGAGGGGGAUGGAAUUCCGCGUGUAGCAGUGAAAUUCGUAGAUAUCGGGAGGAACACCAGUGGCGAAGGCGGCGAUCUGGGUCGAUACUGACGCUGAGGUGCGAAAGCGUGGGGAGCAAACA